This 388-nucleotide ribosomal RNA is filed under the name uncultured bacterium. RNAcentral's name for it is "bacterial SSU rRNA". It matches the Rfam family "Bacterial small subunit ribosomal RNA", at positions 28 to 409 of the family's 1533-position model. The record is from RNAcentral.
GAUGAACGCUAGCGGCAGGCUUAAUACAUGCAAGUCGAGGGGCAGCAGGUCCGUAGCAAUACGGAUGCUGGCGACCGGCAAACGGGUGCGGAACACGUACACAACCUUCCUUUAAGUGGGGGAUAGCCCAGAGAAAUUUGGAUUAAUACCCCGUAAGAUUAUGGAAUGGCAUCAUUUUAUAAUUAAAGCUCCGGCGCUUGAAGAUGGGUGUGCGGCUGAUUAGGUAGUUGGGCGGGUAACGGCCCACCAAGCCAACGAUCAGUAACUGGUGUGAGAGCACGACCAGCCACACGGGCACUGAGACACGGGCCCGACUCCUACGGGAGGCAGCAGUAAGGAAUAUUGGUCAAUGGACGCAAGUCUGAACCAGCCAUGCCGCGUGGAGGAU